UUGGAGGGCAAGUCUGGUGCCAGCAGCCGCGGUAGUUCCAGCUCCAAUAGCGUAUAUUAAAGUUGUUGCAGUUAAAAAGCUCGUAGUUGAACUUCGGGGUUCACCCAUUGGUCAGGCUUAAUUGUCUGUACUGGUGAGAUGAGUCUCUACCUUCUGAGGAACUUUCAUGCCAUUUAUUUGGUGUGGUUGGAAAUCAGGACUGUUACUUUGAAAAAAUUAGAGUGUUUAAAGCAGGCUAACGUCUGAAUACAUUAGCAUGGAAUAAUGAAAUAGGACGGAUUGAUUCUAUUUCGUUGGUUUCUAGGGUCACCGUAAUGAUUAAUAGGGAUAGUUGGGGGCACUAGUAUUCAAUUGUCAGAGGUGAAAUUCUUGGAUUUAUUGAAGACUAACUACUGCGAAAGCAUUUGCCAAGGAUGUUUUCAUUAAUCAAGAACGAAAGUUAGGGGAUCGAAGACGAUCAGAUACCGUCGUAGUCUUAACCAUAAACUAUGCCGACUAGGGAUCGGGCGAUGUUACUUUUUUGACUCGCUCGGCACCUUACGGGAAACCAAAG
RNAcentral lists this ribosomal RNA (553 nucleotides) under uncultured Glomus. Its description in RNAcentral is "SSU rRNA". It matches the Rfam family "Eukaryotic small subunit ribosomal RNA", at positions 548 to 1103 of the family's 1831-position model. The record is from RNAcentral. Lineage: Eukaryota; Fungi; Glomeromycota; Glomeromycetes; Glomerales; Glomeraceae.